GACGAACGCUGGCGGCGUGCUUAACACAUGCAAGUCGAACGGAAAGGCCCUGCUUUUGUGGGGUGCUCGAGUGGCGAACGGGUGAGUAACACGUGAGUAACCUGCCCUUGACUUCGGGAUAACUUCAGGAAACUGGGGCUAAUACCGGAUAGGAGCUCCUGCUGCAUGGUGGGGGUUGGAAAGUUUCGGCGGUUGGGGAUGGACUCGCGGCUUAUCAGCUUGUUGGUGGGGUAGUGGCUUACCAAGGCUUUGACGGGUAGCCGGCCUGAGAGGGUGACCGGCCACAUUGGGACUGAGAUACGGCCCAGACUCCUACGGGAGGCAGCAGUGGGGAAUAUUGCACAGUGGGCGGAAGCCUGAUGCAGCAACGCCGCGUGCGGGAUGACGGCCUUCGGGUUGUAAACCGCUUUCGCCUGUGACGAAGCGUGAGUGACGGUAAUGGGUAAAGAAGCACCGGCUAACUACGUG
RNAcentral lists this ribosomal RNA (468 nucleotides) under uncultured bacterium. RNAcentral describes it as "partial 16S ribosomal RNA". It matches the Rfam family "Bacterial small subunit ribosomal RNA", at positions 28 to 507 of the family's 1533-position model. The record is from RNAcentral.